AAAAUCAUAUGUUAGCUUCUCAGUUGUUGUUAUUUAUUGAUUUAGCCACUGAAUUAUUAUUAUAAUGAUCAUAAAUAACAAUAGCUCGGUGGCUGAAUCAAGAAAUUGGUGAAAAGUACACUUUUUUUUGUAUUGGACAGAUAAAAAAUGGGUAAAUUUAAGAAACUUAGUUUUAAAGAAACAAUUUAAAGCAUUAAUUUUUGUAUAUUUUUGGUCAAGGAAAGUCUCUUGCUCCAAUACCCGAGCUAGAAGAAGAAGAAGAAGAAGAAGAAGAAGAAGAAGAAGAAGAAGAAGAAGAAGAAGAAGAAGAUAAUGAAGAAGAUGAACAGUCUACUUCAGUAGAAAUAGCAGAAAAUGAUAUUGAUGACACAAAGGGACAUGAGCCCGAUACUGCGGUAAGCAAUCUUGAAAAUGUGGAAAUUACCAUUACGCC
This 433-nucleotide long non-coding RNA is filed under the name Lactuca sativa (garden lettuce). RNAcentral's name for it is "long non-coding RNA (LSAT_LNC007738)". Lineage: Eukaryota; Viridiplantae; Streptophyta; Magnoliopsida; Asterales; Asteraceae. The record is from RNAcentral.